This 465-nucleotide ribosomal RNA is filed under the name Vreelandella stevensii. Its description in RNAcentral is "partial 16S ribosomal RNA". It matches the Rfam family "Bacterial small subunit ribosomal RNA", at positions 338 to 795 of the family's 1533-position model. Lineage: Bacteria; Pseudomonadati; Pseudomonadota; Gammaproteobacteria; Oceanospirillales; Halomonadaceae. The record is from RNAcentral.
CCUACGGGUGGCUGCAGUGGGGAAUAUUGGACAAUGGGGGGAACCCUGAUCCAGCCAUGCCGCGUGUGUGAAGAAGGCCCUUGGGUUGUAAAGCACUUUCAGUGAGGAAGAACGCCUGGUGGUUAAUACCCAUCAGGAAAGACAUCACUCACAGAAGAAGCACCGGCUAACUCCGUGCCAGCAGCCGCGGUAAUACGGAGGGUGCGAGCGUUAAUCGGAAUUACUGGGCGUAAAGCGCGCGUAGGUGGCUUGAUAAGCCGGUUGUGAAAGCCCCGGGCUCAACCUGGGAACGGCAUCCGGAACUGUCAAGCUAGAGUGCAGUAGAGGAAGGUAGAAUUCCCGGUGUAGCGGUGAAAUGCGUAGAGAUCGGGAGGAAUACCAGUGGCGAAGGCGGCCUUCUGGACUGACACUGACACUGAGGUGCGAAAGCGUGGGUAGCAAACAGGAUUAGAUACCCGAGUAGUC